This 235-nucleotide ribosomal RNA is filed under the name uncultured bacterium. RNAcentral's name for it is "partial 16S ribosomal RNA". It matches the Rfam family "Bacterial small subunit ribosomal RNA", at positions 96 to 334 of the family's 1533-position model. The record is from RNAcentral.
UGGCGGACGGGGGAGUAAUGUCUGGGAAACUGCCCGAUGGAGGGGGGUAACUACUGGAAACGGUAGCUAAUACCGCAUAACGUCGCAAGACCAAAGAGGGGGACCUUCGGGCCUCUUGCCAUCGGAUGUGCCCAGAUAGGAUUAGCUAGUAGGUGGGGUAAAGGCUCACCUAGGCGACGAUCCCUAGCUGGUCUGAGAGGAUGACCAGCCACACUGGAACUGAGACACGGUCCAG